Molecule: non-coding RNA, 670 nt
Organism: Pelobates cultripes (western spadefoot toad)
Lineage: Eukaryota; Metazoa; Chordata; Amphibia; Anura; Pelobatidae
Source: the annotation of a GenBank genome assembly
GUAGUGUCUGAGGAGGCGGGACAUGGUUCACUCGUGACAUUCUGGGCGCCAUCAUAGGGUGGUGGCCGGGGAACAACAGUGGAUGAAUCAUCAUCAUCACAAACAUUUCUGUGAUACACAAAUACUGUUUGUCCUCCAAAAUCAAUUUCCUCUUCUGACCAUCCCUCCCAUUUGAGACCUCUGGCGACAUGAUACCAAGCCUCUACUGCUUUCGUAAAUCCAUUGUCUAGUAAUAUACCUUCUUUAUCAACAAGCAAUUUCCUCCAAAACUCUAGUUGUAACCUACCACUGGGUGACAUUUGAAAAGCACAAACUUUCGCUAUAUUUUUCAUCUUGAACAUAGCUUCCUCUCCUGCUCUUUCUUUAACAAUGUCACAAGCUAAGAGACCCUUUGAAGGUCUAGCAUAUUCCUGUCCCAUUUUUAGCAAACAUGAUUCUCCCCGUAAAAGGGACAGAGAUAGGGAGAAGAAAAAGAAGGAAUGUCUACAGUGCUCGACUGCCACGAGGAAUUAAUUCCUGUGCGUCUUCCCAAAACGUAGACUAGUCACGAGAUCCGCCCACCCGAGAUGGUGGCCACGGAUCAGUACGGGUGAGCGUGGGUGACUAACACAGCUCUGGGCAACAAGUAUAGGAAAGAUAGAGAAUCAGAGAGAAAGUGAACGUAGAGAGA